RNAcentral lists this ribosomal RNA (460 nucleotides) under uncultured bacterium. RNAcentral's name for it is "partial 16S ribosomal RNA". It matches the Rfam family "Bacterial small subunit ribosomal RNA", at positions 338 to 795 of the family's 1533-position model. The record is from RNAcentral.
CCUACGGGAGGCAGCAGUGAGGAAUAUUGGUCAAUGGGCUUACGCCUGAACCAGCCAAGUCGCGUGAGGGAAGACUGCCCUAUGGGUUGUAAACCUCUUUUGUCAGGGAGCAAUUGGCGCUACGUGUAGCGUUAUCGAGAGUACCUGAAGAAAAAGCAUCGGCUAACUCCGUGCCAGCAGCCGCGGUAAUACGGAGGAUGCGAGCGUUAUCCGGAUUGAUUGGGUUUAAAGGGUGCGUAGGCGGAAUGCCAAGUCAGCGGUAAAAUCGCGGGGCUCAACCUCGCUCCGCCGUUGAAACUGGCGUUCUUGAGUGGGCGAGAAGUAUGCGGAAUGCGUGGUGUAGCGGUGAAAUGCAGAGAUAUCACGCAGAACUCCGAUUGCGAAGGCAGCAUACCGGCGCCCAACUGACGCUGAAGCACGAAAGCGUGGGUAUCGAACAGGAUUAGAUACCCUUGUAGUC